ACUCUCUUAGUAUCAACGAGUACAGUUGACUUCCAAUCAACUAGACCCAGACAAACACUGGGAGAGAGUA
This 70-nucleotide transfer RNA is filed under the name Hylopetes alboniger (particolored flying squirrel). RNAcentral's name for it is "tRNA-Gly". The record is from RNAcentral. Lineage: Eukaryota; Metazoa; Chordata; Mammalia; Rodentia; Sciuridae.